CUAGACUCCUACGGGAGGCAGCAGUGGGGAAUAUUGGGCAAUGGGCGCAAGCCUGACCCAGCAACGCCGCGUGGGUGAAGGAGCACCUCGGUGCGUAAAGCCCUAUCGGCAGGGAAGAAACAGACGGUACCUGACUAAGGAGCCCCGGCUAACUACGUGCCAGCAGCCGCGGUAAUACGUAGGGGGCAAGCGUUAUCCGGAUUCACUGGGUGUAAAGGGAGCGUAGACGGCGACGCAAGUCUGGAGUGAAAGCCCGGGGCCCAACCCCGGGACUGCUCUGGAAACUGCGGCGCUGGAGUGCGGGAGGGGCAGGCGGAAUUCCUGGUGUAGCGGUGAAAUGCGUAGAUAUCAGGAGGAACACCGGCGGCGAAGGCGGCCUGCUGGACCGUGACUGACGUUGAGGCUCGAGAGCGUGGGGAGCAAACAGGAUUAGAUACCCCAGUAAA
RNAcentral lists this ribosomal RNA (446 nucleotides) under uncultured bacterium. RNAcentral's name for it is "bacterial SSU rRNA". It matches the Rfam family "Bacterial small subunit ribosomal RNA", at positions 331 to 794 of the family's 1533-position model. The record is from RNAcentral.